GGUGAUGCUUGACUUUGUUGUACAGCUGCAGUUUGUGUGGUGAAGGUGCUCCCACAAUGUGGUUGGGAUACUACAGGUGGACAUUCAGAUGGUAAUCUCAGUCAUUGUAACACCAAACUCUGAUUGAAUUAGUCAGUUCAUCAGGACCUGGAUAUUCGCAUUGUGUGGUGCUACAUGGUGAAGGUUUGCAGACUGAAAUCUCAAAAUCAUGUGCAGAUUGUGAUUAAGUUAACCAGCAUUUGAAGAACCAAAGAUAGAGA
Long non-coding RNA from Hemiscyllium ocellatum (epaulette shark), 260 nucleotides. RefSeq lists it as uncharacterized. The transcript is spliced from 3 exons. The record is from RefSeq and is a predicted model, not a curated record. Lineage: Eukaryota; Metazoa; Chordata; Chondrichthyes; Orectolobiformes; Hemiscylliidae.